UACGUAGGGACCGAGCGUUGUCCGGAAUCAUUGGGCGUAAAGCGCGCGUAGGCGGCCCGGUAAGUCCGUUGUAAAAGUCGAAGGCUCAACCUUCGAAAGCCGAUGGAUACUGCCGGGCUAGAGUCCGGAAGAGGCGAGUGGAAUUCCUGGUGUAGCGGUGGAAUGCGCAGAUAUCAGGAGGAACACCGGUGGCGAAGGCGGAUCUCUGGGCCAUUACUGACGCUGAGGAGCGAAAGCGUGGGGAGCGAACAGG
This 253-nucleotide ribosomal RNA is filed under the name uncultured bacterium. RNAcentral describes it as "partial 16S ribosomal RNA". It matches the Rfam family "Bacterial small subunit ribosomal RNA", at positions 524 to 776 of the family's 1533-position model. The record is from RNAcentral.